UACGUAGGGACCGAGCGUUGUCCGGAUUCAUUGGGCGUAAAGAGCUCGUAGGCGGCUGCUCAAGUCGAAUGUGAAAACUCGAGGCUCAACCUCGAGCCUGCAUUCGAUACUGGGCGGCUAGAGUCUGGUAGGGGGAUCUGGAAUUCCUGGUGUAGCGGUGGAAUGCGCAGAUAUCAGGAGGAACACCGGUGGCGAAGGCGGGUCUCUGGGCCGUAACUGACGCUGAGGAGCGAAAGCAUGGGGAGCGAACAGG
RNAcentral lists this ribosomal RNA (253 nucleotides) under uncultured bacterium. RNAcentral's name for it is "partial 16S ribosomal RNA". It matches the Rfam family "Bacterial small subunit ribosomal RNA", at positions 524 to 776 of the family's 1533-position model. The record is from RNAcentral.